UCGCGGCUUAUCACCGGCAGUCCCCUUAGAGUGCCCAACUGAAUGAUGGCAACUAAGGGCGAGGGUUGCGCUCGUUGCGGGACUUAACCCAACAUCUCACGACAUGAGCUGACGACAGCCAUGCAGCACCUGUCUCCGGUCCAGCCGAACUGAAAGGAUCCAUCUCUGGUUCCCGCGACCGGGAUGUCAAGGGCUGGUAAGGUUCUGCGCGUUGCUUCGAAUUGAACCACAUGCUCCACCGCUUGUGCGGGCCCCCGUCAAUUCCUUUGAGUUUUAAUCUUGCGACCGUACUCCCCAGGCGGGAUGCUUAAUGCGUUAGCUGCGCCACUGACAAGUAAACUAGAAUGUUGGGAGAC
RNAcentral lists this unclassified non-coding RNA (356 nucleotides) under uncultured Alphaproteobacteria bacterium. Its description in RNAcentral is "contains 16S-23S intergenic spacer region". The record is from RNAcentral. Lineage: Bacteria; Pseudomonadati; Pseudomonadota; Alphaproteobacteria.